RNAcentral lists this ribosomal RNA (420 nucleotides) under uncultured bacterium. RNAcentral's name for it is "bacterial SSU rRNA". It matches the Rfam family "Bacterial small subunit ribosomal RNA", at positions 355 to 772 of the family's 1533-position model. The record is from RNAcentral.
UAAGGAAUAUUGGGCAAUGGACGCAAGUCUGACCCAGCCAUGCCGCGUGGAGGAUGAAGGUCCUCUGGAUUGUAAACUUCUUUUAUCUGGGAAGAAAUCCAUAUUUUCUAAUGUGGUUGACGGUACCAGAUGAAUAAGCACCGGCUAACUCCGUGCCAGCAGCCGCGGUAAUACGGAGGGUGCAAGCGUUAUCCGGAUUCACUGGGUUUAAAGGGUGCGUAGGUGGGCAGGUAAGUCAGUGGUGAAAUCUCCGGGCUUAACUCGGAAACUGCCGUUGAUACUAUCUGUCUUGAAUAUCGUGGAGGUUAGCGGAAUAUGUCAUGUAGCGGUGAAAUGCUUAGAUAUGACAUAGAACACCCAUUGCGAAGGCAGCUAACUACACGAUCAUUGACACUGAGGCACGAAAGCGUGGGAAGCAAA